GGAGAGGUGGCUUAGUGGUUAAGAGCAUCGGCUGCUCUUUCAGAGGCCCUGAGUUCAAUUCCCAGCAUCUACA
Molecule: non-coding RNA, 73 nt
Organism: Mesocricetus auratus (golden hamster)
Lineage: Eukaryota; Metazoa; Chordata; Mammalia; Rodentia; Cricetidae
Source: Rfam